AUCUAUGGCCAUGCUACCCUGAACAAGCCCGAUCCUGUCUGAUCUCAGAAGCUAAGCAGGGUUGGGCCUGGUUAGUACUUGGAUGGGAGACCACCUAGGAAGACCAGGUGCUGUAGGCG
This 119-nucleotide ribosomal RNA is filed under the name Pteropus alecto (black flying fox). Lineage: Eukaryota; Metazoa; Chordata; Mammalia; Chiroptera; Pteropodidae. The record is from RNAcentral.